UUCCGUGAGCAUGGUGACGACUCCGAACUAUAGCAGCAUACUUUACCUACCCCUGAUCAGUUUUAUGGAAGAAAAGGAAACCAAACAAAAUCUAGAUUUAUUACAAGAAGUCCACGAUGGAGACAGCUCAAGAAUGGAAGAGACUCAAGCCCAAAGAUCAGAAGAACCUCUGUCCUGGAAGUCGGUUCUCUUUCCAAUGGAACAGCCUCUGCAAAGUGUACCACAUUAUGAGUUAAUAUAUCUCUUUUUUAAAAAGAAAAGUACUGAUAAGCCACUGAUGUGGUUUAGAUGUGCGUCCCUCCACCCCCACCCACAGUCCCAUGCUAGGAGUGUCACUCAUAUUAAGCUUUGAAUCAAUGGGGAACCCAUACAGGAAGAUCAUAAUAAAUACGGAAAAUUCUGAUAA
Nomascus leucogenys (northern white-cheeked gibbon) is the source of this 406-nucleotide long non-coding RNA. RefSeq lists it as uncharacterized. The transcript is spliced from 3 exons. The record is from RefSeq and is a predicted model, not a curated record. NCBI's taxonomy places the organism in Eukaryota, Metazoa, Chordata, Mammalia, Primates, Hylobatidae.